AGUGAACGCUGGCGGUAGGCCUAACACAUGCAAGUCGAACGGCAGCACAGUAAGAGCUUGCUCUUACGGGUGGCGAGUGGCGGACGGGUGAGGAAUACAUCGGAAUCUACUUUUUCGUGGGGGAUAACGGAGGGAAACUUACGCUAAUACCGCAUAUGACCUACGGGUGAAAGCAGGGGAUCUUCGGACCUUGCGCGAUUGAAUGAGCCGAUGUCGGAUUAGCUAGUUGGCGGGGUAAAGGCCCACCAAGGCGACGAUACGUAGCUGGUCUGAGAGGAUGAUCAGCCACACUUGAACUGAGACACGGUCCAGACUCCUACGGGAGGCAGCAGUGGGGAAUAUUGGACAAUGGGCGCAAGCCUGAUCCAGCCAUACCGCGUGGGUGAAGAAGGCCUUCGGGUUGUAAAGCCCUUUUUUUGGGAAAGAAAAGCAGCAGGUUAAUACCCCGCUGUUCUGACGGUACCCAAAGAAUAAGCACCGGCUAACUUCGUG
RNAcentral lists this ribosomal RNA (492 nucleotides) under uncultured bacterium. RNAcentral describes it as "partial 16S ribosomal RNA". It matches the Rfam family "Bacterial small subunit ribosomal RNA", at positions 29 to 507 of the family's 1533-position model. The record is from RNAcentral.